Molecule: small nuclear RNA, 124 nt
Organism: Manis pentadactyla (Chinese pangolin)
Lineage: Eukaryota; Metazoa; Chordata; Mammalia; Pholidota; Manidae
Source: RefSeq, a predicted model, not a curated record
GUGUUGUACAAAAGGAGAGGUUAGAAUUCUCCCCCCGAAAAAUGAGGAGAUCCUAGUUACCUAAGUAGCACAUUCAUGGUUAAGGAAGUGCUACAAAUUUUGUGGCAGCUAAUCCUGUUUUUUG